Peromyscus eremicus (cactus mouse) is the source of this 764-nucleotide long non-coding RNA. RefSeq lists it as uncharacterized. The transcript has 2 exons. Lineage: Eukaryota; Metazoa; Chordata; Mammalia; Rodentia; Cricetidae. The record is from RefSeq and is a predicted model, not a curated record.
UCAGGUCCCUAGGAAGACAGCAAAUCAGAGGAAAGUGACUUGAGCCAUUCAAGAGUGUAGCUUCAUGCAAACAGGUCACGACCUGUCCAAGCCAGGUAUCUCCUUGAGAAUUAGCAGUGAACAGACGGUCCACAUCUGUUUUGCAAGAGGGUGAAUUCUCCCCACCCCUGGGGGGACACUUGGCAACAUCUGGGCAUUUUGGUUGUCAUACAGAGAGAUAUGCAGAAGUAUUUUCAUGGAUGCAAGAGAUGUCACUAAGUGUCAUACAAAGCACAGAUGAGGCCCAUCCCUCUAUGAGCCAUUCUAUGUGGCCACUCCCUCUACCCACUAAAGAGCUCUCAGCACUUAAUACCUCAGAGUUCACACUACCUGAAGAAACUGACUUCACUUUCAAACAGUUUCUGUAUCUCUAUGGAAGGACUGCAUGUUCCCAAAAACAUGCUUUGCCAAUAAAAUGUCCGAACUCUCAUGCCCUCUGUGUUUCUGCCAUAUCGCUCCAAUGACCUCAGCUCAGCAGCCACCUGCUGGUGUCCCUGACUUCACCUAGGGCCCAUCAGAAAUGAGAAGGCCAGUCUGCCUGUGUCCACACAGCCUGAUGCACCCCAAAACAACCCUCAGCAUUGAUCAGCAAGCCUAGAUUUGUCAACAAACUAGCCCAGGGUGGUCCAGAGCUCCGUGACCCAUCAGUCCCAGUUGCUGGUCCUUCCCUGGCCCACUUCCCACUUCAUUACUGGGGUUUCCUGCAAAUAAACUAAGUGAACUCA